GAGCGCGGUGGCGCGGUGGCGGCGCGCGCGCCCGCUGCGCGCGAAGAGCCGGGCUUGGCGAUGGCGGCGCCGCCGCGCCCG
Molecule: transfer RNA, 81 nt
Filed under: Tepidimonas ignava
Lineage: Bacteria; Pseudomonadati; Pseudomonadota; Betaproteobacteria; Burkholderiales
Description: tRNA-Ser
Source: RNAcentral